AGGGCACCACCAGGAGUGGAGCCUGCGGCUUAAUUUGACUCAACACGGGAAAACUCACCCGGCCCGGACACUGGAAGGAUUGACAGAUUGAGAGCUCUUUCUUGAUUCAGUGGGUGGUGGUGCAUGGCCGUUCUUAGUUGGUGGAGUGAUUUGUCUGGUUAAUUCCGAUAACGAACGAGACUCUAGCCUACUAAAUAGAUCGUCGGCUUACAAACGCCGACGAGACUUCUUAGAGGGACAGGCGGUGAUUCAACCGCACGAAACAGAGCAAUAACAGGUCUGUGAUGCCCUUAGAUGUCCGGGGCCGCACGCGCGCUACACUGAAGUGAUCAGCGUGCUUUUGUCAACCUACUCUGUCAAGAGUGGGGAACCCAAUGAACCUUCUUCGUGAUUGGGAUAGGGGAUUGUAAUUAUUCCCCUUGAACGAGGAAUUCCCAGUAAGCGCGAGUCAUAAGCUCGCGUUGACUACGUCCCUGCCCUUUGUACACACCGCCCGUCGCUACUACCGAUUGAAUGUUU
RNAcentral lists this ribosomal RNA (519 nucleotides) under uncultured eukaryote. RNAcentral describes it as "SSU rRNA". It matches the Rfam family "Eukaryotic small subunit ribosomal RNA", at positions 1161 to 1698 of the family's 1831-position model. The record is from RNAcentral.